AAAAAUAAGAGUUUGAUCCUGGCUCAAAACGAACGCUAGUUAUAUGAUUAACAAAUGCAAGUCGAACGUAGCUUGCUUCCCCAUACAUCCAUGUGGGGGCAGAAGGGCAAGAGGAAUGACCCCCUCCUAGCACGUGCUCACUCACUCAAAUGAUAUGCAAGUGGUGUGUCGGGCAUGGGGAACAACAAGCAAAGUGGUGAACGAGUGCGUAAUGCAUGGGAAUCUACCAAACAGUUCACUCCAAAUCCUAAAUAAUUCAUAAAGCAAGCUAAUUUGCAUUUUUUGAUGAGCCCGCGUAGUAUCAAGUAGUUUGUUAGGUAAAGGAUGA
Molecule: non-coding RNA, 328 nt
Organism: Picea glauca (white spruce)
Lineage: Eukaryota; Viridiplantae; Streptophyta; Pinopsida; Pinales; Pinaceae
Source: Rfam